Gasterosteus aculeatus aculeatus (three-spined stickleback) is the source of this 1459-nucleotide long non-coding RNA. The record is from Ensembl. Lineage: Eukaryota; Metazoa; Chordata; Actinopteri; Perciformes; Gasterosteidae.
GUCUUAUGACUCCGAUUUAGAAAAAAUUCAGAUUUUUAUUCAAAAGUACGUUUUCUUUUUUGCAAAAAUAUUUUGGCAUUUUUCAGACUUGGAAGUUUAAAAAAAGUUCUUUCAUUACUUUUACAAGUAUGGAGUGAACCCCAUGCAGGCUUACCCUACACCACCUAACACAGUGGCGCCACUGGGCGGAGUUGAACCCGAGGCAUCUGUCUGUGAGGCGAGAGUGCUGACCACUACACCACUGGUACCGUGUCAACUGCAGCUAUUAGAAUGUCUUAUGACUCCGAUUUAGAAAAAAUUCAGAUUCUUUUCUGGGUGGAGUUGAACCCGAGACAUCUUUCUGUGAGGCGAGAGUGCUAACCACUACACCACUGUACCGUGUCAACUGCAGCUAUUAGAAUGUCUUAUGACUCCGAUUUAGAAAAAAUUCAGAUUUUUAUUCAAAAGUACGUUCUCUCACCGUCGUCCCCCUUAAUAGAAAAGAUAGAAUUUCAUGACUUUUUGCAAAAAAAAUUUGGCAUUCUUUUCAGACUUGGAAGUUUUAAAAAAGUUUUUUCCAUUACUUUUACAAGUAUGGAGUGAACCCCAUGCAGCCUUAGCCUACACCAAAGGCGCCACUGGGUGGAGUUGACGAGGCAUCUGUCUGUGAGGCGAGAGUGCUAACCACUACACCACUGUACCGUGUCAACUGCAGCUAUUAGAAUGUCUUAUGACUCCGAUUAGAAAAAAUUCAGAUUUUUAUUCAAAAGUACGUUUUCUCACCGUCAUCCCCCUUCAUAUGACUAAAGAUAGAAUUUCAUGACUUUUUGCAAAAUAUUUUGGCAUUCUUUUCAGACUUGGAAGUUUAAAAAAAAUUUUUUCCAUUACUUUUACAAGUAUGGAGUGAACCCCAUGCAGCCUUAGCCUACACCAAAGGCGCCACUGGGUGGAGUUGAACCCGAGGCAUCUGUCUGGGAGGCGAGAGUGCUAACCACUACACCACUGCACCGUAUCAACUGCUUUAAUAAGAAUGUCUUAUGACUCCGAUUUAGAAAAAAAUCAGAUUUUUAUUCAAAAGUACGUUUUCUCUUUUGCAAAAAUAUUUUGGCAUUCUUUUCAGACUUGGAAGUUUAAAAAAAGUUUUUUCCAUUACUUUUACAAGCAUGGAGUGAACCCCAUGCAGGCUCAGCCUACACCACCUAACACAGAAGCGCCACUGGGUGGAGUUGAACCCGAGGCAUCUGUCUGGGAGGCGAGAGUGCUAACCACUACACCACUGUACCGUGUCAACUGCUGCCAUUAGAAGGUCUUAUGACUCCAAUUUAGAAAAAAUUCAGAUUUUUAUUCAAAAGUACGUUUUCUCAUCGUCGUCCCCCUUCAUAUGACUAAAGAUAGAAUUUCAUGACUUUUUGCAAAAUAUUUUGGCAUUCUUUUCAGACUCGGAAGUUUAAAAAAAGUUUUUUUCCAUUACUUUUACAAA